GUAACUGCCUUGCUUGGAGAGGAAGUCAUGGGUAGUGGGUGGUUUAUUUUCCUUCUUCUCCAAGCUUCUUCCUUCUUCUCCAAGUUUCUUCCUUCUUCUCCAAGUCAUGGUGGAUCAUGCUUAUCAUGUGGUUUUCAUGGUUGUUUUCAUGCUUCUCCUUCAGAUGCUCCCAUUGGGCUUUUUCGUAUUGGGCCUUAACAAAUCACACCCUGGUCCAUGGCCCGGUACACAGCCCCCCAAGCACGAGGCUUCAAGAAGGCGAAGUGCUUUUGAAUGAAGUAACUUGGCGAUUAUUAUGUCUCGGCGUGGUUCUAUGUCGCCUAUUUGUUGCUGACUCAUACUCUUUGUUUGCUUGUCGCCUUGCCCUUCCUUUUGUUGUUUUAUAUUUCUUAGAUAAUUUGUACGCC
This 407-nucleotide long non-coding RNA is filed under the name Trifolium pratense (red clover). Its description in RNAcentral is "long non-coding RNA (TPRA_LNC002774)". The record is from RNAcentral. Lineage: Eukaryota; Viridiplantae; Streptophyta; Magnoliopsida; Fabales; Fabaceae.